RNAcentral lists this ribosomal RNA (368 nucleotides) under Cremnoconchus sp. 11 SC-2021. RNAcentral's name for it is "partial small subunit ribosomal RNA". It matches the Rfam family "Microsporidia small subunit ribosomal RNA", at positions 752 to 1208 of the family's 1311-position model. Lineage: Eukaryota; Metazoa; Mollusca; Gastropoda; Littorinimorpha; Littorinidae. The record is from RNAcentral.
ACUUACCUGAGUACUACGAAUAUUAUAUUUAAAACUCAAAGGGCUUGGCGGUGCCUUAAACUUUUUAGGGGAACCUGUUCCAUAAUCGAUAGUCCACGUUAGACCUUUCCCUUUUUUGCAAAAUUCAGUAUGUAUACCGUCGUCGUCAGGUAACUUUUAAAAAUAUAGAAGUUAGCAAUUAAAGAUAUAAUCUUAAACGUCAGAUCAAGGUGCAGCUUAUAAAAUGGAGAGAAUGGGUUACAAUUAAAAAUCAUAAUUACGGAAAUGGGAUUGAAAUAUCUCAUCGAAGGAGGACUUAAUAGUAAAAGAUCCAUAUAAGAUUUUUGAAUAGAGCUCUAAGGCGUGCACACAUCGCCCGUCACUCUCGA